GUAAAAAGUAUCGAGGUUUUAUUUCAUGUCCCGUUGUUCAAAGGAAGUCUGUAACAGAACGCUCCAAGAUGCCCGAAGAGAAAACUGCUCAUUCAAGAAGCACAUGAUAAGAACACAUUAGUGUCCGAGUCAAAAUAAUGAGGUUUUAUCCCUUAACGAUAAUAUCGUUAGGCCCACCUUCAGACGUGAAAGUGUGAAAAAGGAUUAAAUACUCAUUAGAAGGAGAGCAUCAAACAACAAGGUUUUAUUUUUAAACAGUAAUUUUUCUCAAACUGCAAACAAAUAUGCAGAAUAUGCUUUGCUUAAGGACAUUCCCUGAUUACUAGGAAAUGAAUCAACACAAAAACUCAAGAAUAUACAUCAUAAUAUAACACAAUUUUAUUUCCGCCUUCUAGAAAAUGUUCCCGGAAUGUGGAAGAAGCUUGUGUAAAAAUAGAUGUUCAGAGUAACAAGAUUUAUAAUAGCACAGCCUUAGAAAUCUAAACACGUUAUUUAAGUAAAAUAUCAGGCAGGUAUUUAAAAUUAUGUUAACAAAAACCUUGUGUUUGUCUUAUAUUUGUUAAAAGCCAAAUGCGAAAUUUUUAUAUAAUAUGACUUAAACUAUAUUGACAUACAUAUAAUGCACAAAAAGUGUAGGUCAGUUUUUCAAAAUCACAGCAAGCAAUUAGAUCUAAGGAUGGAAUUAUAGGUAAAUUACUUUUAUUUCUUUAUACUUUUCUGUUUUUUCUAGAUUUUUCCAUAAUGAGUAUAUAUUGUCUUAUGAUCUAUAAAACAAAAUUUAAAAAUACAAGGGAGAUGAGACUGGCUAUUUGUAGAGAAUGAACCCAAUUUAGAUAUACAAAUAUACUGUAAGUAUACAAGGUAAAGCAACCAAAGGACGGUGAGAUAGCAAAAUUUUAACAGUGGUUGUAACUUUGUAAUGGCUUAUGGCUGAUUUGUCUUCUUUAUACUUUAAGAUAGCUACCAAAAUGUCUUCCAUGAGCAUAUAUUAUAUAUUAGAAUAUUAAAUAUCUUUUAAGAUGGUAAGAAUAAUACCAUCAUAUUAAGUAUAGUUUUAAACUAAUGGGCAAAUCCUGGCACAAAUACUCCCUGAAGUAUGUUUGAUACUGUUAAUUCCUACUUAAUGUCAAUGUUUUCUUCUCUUUCUGUUACUAAUUUAACCCUGUGUUGGGAAUGAC
Molecule: long non-coding RNA, 1178 nt
Filed under: Homo sapiens (human)
Lineage: Eukaryota; Metazoa; Chordata; Mammalia; Primates; Hominidae
Description: long non-coding RNA NONHSAT252501
Source: RNAcentral